RNAcentral lists this non-coding RNA (203 nucleotides) under Clostridium sulfidigenes. RNAcentral describes it as "T-box sequence". It matches the Rfam family "T-box leader". Rfam says of the family: Uncharged tRNA acts as the effector for transcription antitermination of genes in the T-box leader family. T-boxes are found upstream of many aminoacyl-tRNA synthetase genes and some amino acid biosynthetic genes usually in Gram-positive bacteria. The anticodon of a specific tRNA base pairs to a specifier sequence within the T-box motif, and the NCCA acceptor tail of the tRNA base pairs to a conserved bulge in the T-box antiterminator hairpin. Lineage: Bacteria; Bacillati; Bacillota; Clostridia; Eubacteriales; Clostridiaceae. The record is from RNAcentral.
UAUAAACCGUUGAAGAGAAUAGUAGUACUAAUUAUAUAUGUAAGAGAGUCAGUGUUUGGUGUAAACUGAUAUAUAUAUUAUUACGAAUCCGCCUCUGAGGGACUGUGAUGAGCAGUACGGCAUUAAGUUUGUCGUUAAAUUUGCGAGUGGAAUAAUUAAUUUUAUUCAAUUAGGGUGGUAACACGGAGUCUUUCGUCCCUUAG